GGGUUGUGAGGUUAAGCGACUAAGCGUACACGGUGGAUGCCCUGGCAGUCAGAGGCGAUGAAGGGCGUGCUAAUCUGCGAUAAGCGCCGGUAAGGUGAUAUGAACCGUUAUAACCGGCGAUACCCGAAUGGGGAAACCCAGUGUGACUCGUCACACUAUCAUUAACUGAAUCCAUAGGUUAAUGAGGCGAACCGGGGGAACUGAAACAUCUAAGUACCCCGAGGAAAAGAAAUCAACCGAGAUUCCCCCAGUAGCGGCGAGCGAACGGGGAGGAGCCCAGAGCCUGAAUCAGCAUGUGUGUUAGUGGAAGCGUCUGGAAAGGCGCGCGAUACAGGGUGACAGCCCCGUACACAAAAGCGCAUGUGCUGUGAGCUCGAUGAGUAGGGCGGGACACGUGGUAUCCUGUCUGAAUAUGGGGGGACCAUCCUCCAAGGCUAAAUACUCCUGACUGACCGAUAGUGAACCAGUACCGUGAGGGAAAGGCGAAAAGAACCCCGGCGAGGGGAGUGAAAAAGAACCUGAAACCGUGUACGUACAAGCAGUGGGAGCACCCUUUGGGGUGUGACUGCGUACCUUUUGUAUAAUGGGUCAGCGACUUAUAUUCUGUAGCAAGGUUAACCGAAUAGGGGAGCCGCAGGGAAACCGAGUCUUAAUUGGGCGUUAAGUUGCAGGGUAUAGACCCGAAACCCGGUGAUCUAGCCAUGGGCAGGUUGAAGGUUGGGUAACACUAACUGGAGGACCGAACCGACUAAUGUUGAAAAAUUAGCGGAUGACCUGUGGCUGGGGGUGAAAGGCCAAUCAAACCGGGAGAUAGCUGGUUCUCCCCGAAAGCUAUUUAGGUAGCGCCUCGUGAAUUCAUCUCCGGGGGUAGAGCACUGUUUCGGCUAGGGGGCCAUCCCGGCUUACCAACCCGAUGCAAACUGCGAAUACCGGAGAAUGUUAUCACGGGAGACACACGGCGGGUGCUAACGUCCGUCGUGAAGAGGGAAACAACCCAGACCGCCAGCUAAGGUCCCAAAGUCAUGGUUAAGUGGGAAACGAUGUGGGAAGGCCCAGACAGCCAGGAUGUUGGCUUAGAAGCAGCCAUCAUUUAAAGAAAGCGUAAUAGCUCACUGGUCGAGUCGGCCUGCGCGGAAGAUGUAACGGGGCUAAACCAUGCACCGAAGCUGCGGCAGCGA
This 1178-nucleotide ribosomal RNA is filed under the name Salmonella enterica subsp. enterica serovar Goldcoast. Its description in RNAcentral is "partial 23S ribosomal RNA". It matches the Rfam family "Bacterial large subunit ribosomal RNA", at positions 1 to 1211 of the family's 2925-position model. Lineage: Bacteria; Pseudomonadati; Pseudomonadota; Gammaproteobacteria; Enterobacterales; Enterobacteriaceae. The record is from RNAcentral.